Pelobates cultripes (western spadefoot toad) is the source of this 329-nucleotide non-coding RNA. The record is from the annotation of a GenBank genome assembly. Lineage: Eukaryota; Metazoa; Chordata; Amphibia; Anura; Pelobatidae.
CCACCGUCCUGUGAUCCCCCUUCCCCAGUUACACUAUUUGCUCCUUUAUUCUGGAGAGAGAGGAAGUCUGCUUAUCUUUUAUAUCUUUAUUUAGAAAGAAAAAAACAACUGCGAAAGAAGGGAAGAACAGAGAAGAAAGUCCAGGAUUUAAAGCAAGUCUCAGAUAUCUAUUUUAUAUUGCUAGGUUUGAGCUGUAUUUUAUUGUGGGGUACGGGUGCUCUCCUCUUUUUCUAUUUCUAAAUGCAAAAUCCAGAGCGGGGGAGAGGGAGAAUUGAGUCAGCGCAUCCCUUUCUCCCCUUAUUGCUUCCCACAGUAUUUUUUGUUUCCCG